UGGGUUGUGAUAAUGUGUUGAAAUUAACUUUAUUGAUUAUGGGCCACAGGGUUCAAUUCUCAGGCCGACUCUUUUCUCUGUGUAUAUCAAUGAUGUUGCUCUUGCUGCGGGCGAUUCCCUGAUCCACCUCUACGCAGACGACACCAUUCUAUAUACUUUCGGCCCGUCAUUGGACACUGUGCUAUCUAACCUCCAAACAAGCUUCAAUGCCAUACAACACUCCUUCCGUGGCUUCCAACUGCUCUUAAACGCUAGUAAAACCAAAUGCAUGCUUUUCAACCGGUCGCUGCCUGCACCUGCAUGCCCGACUAGCAUCACCACCCUGGAUGGUUCCGACCUAGAAUAUGUGGACGUCUAUAAGUACCUAGGUGUCUGGCUAGACUGCAAACUCUCCUUCCAGACUCAUAUCAAACAUCUCCAAUCGAAAAUCAAAUCAAGAGUCGGCUUUCUAUUCCGCAACAAAGCCUCCUUCACUCACGCCGCCAAGCUUACCCUAGUAAAACUGACUAUCCUACCGAUCCUCGACUUCGGCGAUGUCAUCUACAAAAUGGCUUCCAACACUCUACUCAGCAAACUGGAUGCAGUCUAUCACAGUGCCUUCGGUUUUGUCACUAAAGCACCUUAUACCACCCACCACUGCGACUUGUAUGCUCUAGUCGGCUGGCCCUCGCUACAUAUUCGUCGCCAGACCCACUGGCUCCAGGUCAUCUACAAGUCCAUGCUAGGUAAAGCUCCGCCUUAUCUCAGCUCACUGGUCACGAUGGCAACACCCAUCCGUAGCACGCACUCCAGCAGGUGUAUCUCACUGAUCAUCCCUAAAGCCAACACCUCAUUUGGCCGCCUUUCGUUCCAGUACUCUGCUGCCUGUGACUGGAACGAAUUGCAAAAAUCGCUGAAGUUGGAGACUUUUAUCUCCCUCACCAACUUCAAACAUCAGCUAUCUGAGCAGCUAACCGAUCGCUGCAGCUGUACAUAGUCUAUUGGUAAAUAGCCCACCCUUUUCACCUACCUCAUCCCCAUACUGUUUUUAUUUAUUUACUUUUCUGCUCUUCUGC
This 1055-nucleotide long non-coding RNA is filed under the name Oncorhynchus kisutch (coho salmon). RNAcentral's name for it is "lncRNA (ENSOKIG00005011113.1)". Lineage: Eukaryota; Metazoa; Chordata; Actinopteri; Salmoniformes; Salmonidae. The record is from RNAcentral.